This 305-nucleotide ribosomal RNA is filed under the name uncultured bacterium. RNAcentral's name for it is "partial 16S ribosomal RNA". It matches the Rfam family "Bacterial small subunit ribosomal RNA", at positions 337 to 641 of the family's 1533-position model. The record is from RNAcentral.
GCCUACGGGGGGCAGCAGUGGGGAAUAUUGCACAAUGGGGGAAACCCUGAUGCAGCGACGCCGCGUGAGUGAAGAAGUAUUUCGGUACGUAAAGCUCUAUCAGCAGGGAAGAAAAACCGGCCUUAGGGCCGCCAGACGGUACCUGACUAAGAAGCCCCGGCUAACUACGUGCCAGCAGCCGCGGUAAUACGUAGGGGGCAAGCGUUAUCCGGAUUUAUUGGGUGUAAAGGGCGUGUAGGCGGGAAAGCAAGUCAGAUGUGAAAACUCAGGGCUCAACCCUGAGCCUGCAUUUGAAACUGUUUUUU